GACGAACGCUGGCGGCGUGCUUAACACAUGCAAGUCGAACGGAAAGGCCCUGCUUUUGUGGGGUGCUCGAGUGGCGAACGGGUGAGUAACACGUGAGUAACCUGCCCUUGACUUUGGGAUAACCUCAGGAAACUGGGGCUAAUACCGGAUAGUAGCUCCUGCUGCAUGGUGGGGGUUGGAAAGUUUCGGCGGUUGGGGAUGGUGUCGCGGCUUAUCAGCUUGUUGGUGGGGUAGUGGCUUACCAAGGCUUUGACGGGUAGCCGGCCUGAGAGGGGGACCGGCCACAGGGGGACUGGGAGGGGGGCAGGAGUGGGGCGGGAGGCAGCAGGGGGGAAGAGUGGACGAGGGGCGGAAGCGUGAGGGAGCAACGCCGCGGGGGGGAGGACGGCCUUCGGGGGGGAAACAGGUUUCGCCUGUGACGAAGGGGGAGUGAGGGUAAGGGGUAAAGAGGCACGGGCAAACUAGGG
This 467-nucleotide ribosomal RNA is filed under the name uncultured bacterium. RNAcentral describes it as "partial 16S ribosomal RNA". It matches the Rfam family "Bacterial small subunit ribosomal RNA", at positions 28 to 506 of the family's 1533-position model. The record is from RNAcentral.